Molecule: unclassified non-coding RNA, 773 nt
Filed under: Hevea brasiliensis (rubber tree)
Lineage: Eukaryota; Viridiplantae; Streptophyta; Magnoliopsida; Malpighiales; Euphorbiaceae
Source: RNAcentral
AGUCUAAGUGGUUCACCAGUAGCUAAUCUCCAAAUACAGACUGCAACUCUUUGCUUGACAGGAAUGGCGUUUCGCAAAGUGGUAUCCUCUUUGGCAAUAAAUGAAUGUAGCUCAUCGCAUAUCAUGUCAAAAGUACCCUUGCUCAUUCUAAACGCUUGCUUGAACUCCUCCUCAGGAUAAUCUGGCCGAUUGCAUUCAUCCCACCACUCUUUGUCUCUGUCUUUCACCCAUAAUCGUCUAUGUUGACCACCACUCCCUUGCUUUGCAUCACCAAUUCCCUUACUAGCGAGCCCAUUAGAGGCAGCAGAAACAGCGACCGCACCAGCUAUUGCCCUGGACUUUUUGCGCUUCAUUCGGUCAGUUUCUUCAAUUUCUGUGUAGUAAUCUUGAAUAUUGGAAUAAUAUUCGACCAUUGUUCUAGUCUUUUUCUUAUGAUUUGCUUCGAGUAAUUGCUUGUCCUCACAUGAGGCCUUGUUUCGCUCUUCUUGAUCGCACUUUUCUUGCUCUUCCAGCAACAUCCAUGAUGUGAUUAUACCCUUCAACUCUUUUCUCUUCUUGUUGCUAAUGCUAGUAUUGUUGCCUUCUUCAAAAAAAUUGGUGUCCUCCCCAUCGCUUUCUUGCCUAUCUUUCCUUUGCCUCUUCCUGGUGGUGUUGGAUUCAUUCAUUUGGUUGAGUGAAUAGGGAAGCAAGGUAUAAGAAAAAGAGUAAAUUGUUCUGAGUUAGGUAGAGAGGAAGAGAGAUUCAUAUAAGAAGAAGAGAGAGGGAAGAAGAAA